Herpailurus yagouaroundi (jaguarundi) is the source of this 374-nucleotide long non-coding RNA. RefSeq lists it as uncharacterized. NCBI's taxonomy places the organism in Eukaryota, Metazoa, Chordata, Mammalia, Carnivora, Felidae. The transcript is spliced from 2 exons. The record is from RefSeq and is a predicted model, not a curated record.
UGUGCCCUUGCUGGGGAGUCAGCAAGGCUCAUCACAACAACCGUAUAACAUAAGAGCCUGGUGCGCAGGCCUUUGACAACUUCUAUCUCUUGCCCCACUCUACAGGCAGAGAAGAUGGCUUAGAGAACUCAUCAGAAACUUCCCACCACUCUCGGGACCGAUUCUAAGCUCCAGUGUGACUAGAGUCUGGGAAACCAGGGCAGGAUAUGGAGAACACAAAGGGAAAAGGUGAGAAAAUUGAUGCAUGAGUUAAUGAACUUGCCAAAGAUCACACUCAAUAAAAAAGCUGGAAUUCUGUCUUCAGAUCCCCUGCUCUUAACGACUAUACUAUAAAUCUUUCAAUUAAAUGGAUGACAUUCUGGGAUCAUGAAAAA